RNAcentral lists this non-coding RNA (53 nucleotides) under unclassified sequences. The record is from RNAcentral.
CGGGGACUCAACUGCCUCCCCGUCAGAUGUGACGCCGUCCAUCCAAGCGCUGA